UCACGACGAACCUUUUGAGAGUUGUUGUUGCUGCCGCUUUUUGGGAGCCUUUGCCUUGCGGGGUUUGCGGAUUUUUUUUUUUGAACGGCUCAUCGAUAGAGAAUGAAUUAUGAGGGCGGAUGAACUAGGUUUUAUAGAUGAAAAGAACACUGUUAUUGGACUUGGACCUUGUACAUAUACUGUUUCGUUUUUCUUUCCAAACCCUGAAUUUAAAUACUCACAUUUAUUUAUUUAGUAACAGAUUUGGGUAAUAACUUUCGUAUUAAAAUUUUCCUGAUAUAUAUGUUUUGUUUUUAAAUAGAAAAUUUCUCUAACCCUAGGUUCUCUCCCUUUCCCCCUUCACUGAUUGAUAUUUACUUCCUUUUCUCCGAAGUAUGCUGCCAACCACACGGAGGCCCCUCCACGAUUUCUAUAGCGACUAUGAUGAUGACGCUAGUGAACACUUCGUGCUUCUCUUCUUCCAUAUCUCCCUACUACUCAGACUCUCCGUGCUUCUUUUCUUUAUUUUAAGGUUGUGGAGCUAAGGACUGCACAAAGCUUUUUCAUGCUUCUGAAUUUGUGUACAUCUGAAGCUGAAACUCCCAUUGCUUGCGGUUGAACAAACUUCAAAAUUGUACGAGGAUCCCUAUACUCAAAAUAACAUGAAGUAAGUGAUUCCAAAGGACCAGGUUUAUCGCACGAUCCCUGUCAGAUAGCAUCCUAUGCUUGAGAUGCUGCAUAGACAGUCUGUGUGGUCAGAUAGCAUAAAAAUGUUUAUUCGAGUUGAGGCGGAGAAGGUGAUUCCAAAGGACCAGGUUUAUUGCACGAUCCUUGUCAAUUACUGCCAUAGGAACUGGUUGGUUUUAGAUUAUUCUGCGUGGUUUGGUUAAAGUGUGGCUGUCGUGCCUUUCAAGAGCGGGUUGAUAAAUUCAGCUCCUUCUGGUGGAGAGAUUUGCAUGUGCUGGGAAAAAAAGAAGGAAGGUUUAGUAAUAGGUGGUUUGAUAACAACUUGUCCAAAGUAAUCGGGGAUGGAACAAAAUCUUUUUUUGGGAAGGAUCCUUGGCUGGAAAGCGUGAGACUGAAGGAUAAAUAUCCUGGCCUGUGUAAGAUGUCGAAGGAUAAGGAAAUUUCAAGUUGUGACGCGAUUAGGAAUGAGAAUGGGAGAUCAGUUUGAAACGGAGAAUCGGAGGGUAGGCUGGAGGGGGAAAAUGCUAAGUGUGAAGAGGAAAUUAGAUAUUUGGUUAGUAGAGUUUCUCUUAGGAACAAUGUUAAAGAUAAAUGGAGUUGGCAUAAGGGUGAGUAUUCGGUCAAAGAAGCGUAUCAAAUGAUCAUGGAAGGGCUGAUAAAUUCCAUAGAAGAUAACAAAGAGUUGGUGACUGUUUUGAACAAAAUUGUUCCGCUAAAAAUUUCGGUACUAGUGUGGAGAAUUUGCCAAAACAAAAUACCAAGUAGAGUGAACUUAGUGAAGAGGGGGAUCUUAGUCGAAUCUCAAAAUUCAUACCCUUAUGGCUGCGGGAGAGUGAAAAAUGUUGAACACAUCUUCGAAUAUCCGGCAGCUUUGGUUGCAUGGAGCGAGGUCCUAAGAUGGUUGGGUUUCACAUAUGUAUUUCACAAUUCUGCUAUACAAAAUUUUGCUCAUUUUACAGGUUUAAGCAACGGCGGCUGAGUGCUUAGAGAGAAAUUUUCAGUCAUUUGGUUUGCGAGUAUUUGGAUCAUUUGGAAAAGGAGGAACGAGAAGAUCUUAAGAACCACAUCGCUGCACAAUUAUCCUUGUAUUGAAGACAUUCAAGUGAUCGCGUGGAGGUGGCUAAAGGCAAAAGUAAUUGGAUUCACUUAUACGUAAAGUCAAUGGACUACAAACCCAAAAGAAUGCAUCGGAUGGAUUGGGAAAGAUUAAUGGAGUGAGGGAGGAUCGGAGCCAGUUUUGAGUGUUUUUGCAGCGCAUAUUUUGAUGACGAGUCUGGCGAUUACUGCAUUAUAGUAUGUUUGUUGUUGGCCAACUUGCUUUGGAUCCGGUGUUCGCAUUUUCAAAAAGUCCAGACGUAGCGGCUGGUGCAUGAUUUCGCGGAGUUUUGAAGCAUUUUUUUGCUGGUUAGGGGAUUCUGAUGUGUUUGGGUGUGGUGCCUAGUCUUAUAGUAUUUAUCUGGAGUCGGCUUUGUGUUCAAGCGUGUUGUGUUUAGGUGGCAAUCGGUCAGUCCGCUUUGCUUGUUCUGUCUGCUGUGGUUCCAGUUUUUGCAGGGUCGGGUCCAAUAUUGGAGAAGACCAAGGAGUGGAGCACCUUGCGUAUCAGCAAUGUGGUUCGGCUGGUUCUCCUAUUAUGCAGGUCUGUUAGCUAUUGCAGGUGGUUUGGGUGUGUCCGUUUUGGGGAUAAAUUUUCUGUCAGGUUUGAUAGGCAGCGGCGAAGUUACGUCUCUGUGGAUUUCGGCUUUGGCGUUUCGGUUAAGGGUCUGUGUGUUUGUGUCGAGCUCCUGAAUUGCAAAUUAUCGCGGUAUUGGGUUCGCCGAUGUCUGGUUUUUUCUCCUUUUUGUGGAAUAGCAUGCGUUUGGUGGAUGAGGCCAAUUUUGUGACUGCAAUCUCAGCUCUAGUUUGGCAUGUCACUGUUAUUUCUUUGCCUGGCAUAACAGUGAAAUUGACUGCAUCUGGUAGAAAAUUUUCGACGGCAAAGUGGCUGCUGGCUCGGCUAUGUUAUUUGGGCUGCGUAUCAUUUUGGAUUGGAGUUAUUGCCUCUUGCUAGUUCUGCUUCAUAUCAUUGAAUUUUGUUGAUUCUGUAAUAGAAAGAAGGGAAUGGCUUUUGAAUCUAAGACAGAAGAAUCUUUGCUUGGAUAAUUUACUUUAAUGUCUCAGCCUUUCACUUAGUGUCUGGUUUUGGAGUUUUGUAACACUUUAUUUUAUUAUGGCAUUGCUUAUGCCUUUCUACUAA
This is a long non-coding RNA of Vicia villosa (hairy vetch), 2899 nucleotides long. RefSeq lists it as uncharacterized. The transcript has 2 exons. Lineage: Eukaryota; Viridiplantae; Streptophyta; Magnoliopsida; Fabales; Fabaceae. The record is from RefSeq and is a predicted model, not a curated record.